UCGACUAUACUUGAACAGGAUCGUUCUAUAGUUGGUACACCUAGUCUGUAUUCCUCAAUUCAGACAAGCUCCUCAGGAUGGAUGGCGAUUCACAGUGGACUCGCCUGAGCGUGAUGUCUGCCCGCUGACUGCCGGUGCCCUCGUGGCCUGGUGCGCGUGUGCGAGAUGAGUGCCUGCCAGUGUCACAUUCCGACCUGGCGGACGGCAAGCCCACAUUCCGACAUCCU
Molecule: small nucleolar RNA, 227 nt
Filed under: Auxenochlorella protothecoides
Lineage: Eukaryota; Viridiplantae; Chlorophyta; Trebouxiophyceae; Chlorellales; Chlorellaceae
Description: Plant small nucleolar RNA U3
Rfam family: Plant small nucleolar RNA U3
About the family: Small nucleolar RNAs (snoRNAs) are involved in the processing and modification of rRNA in the nucleolus. There are two main classes of snoRNAs: the box C/D class, and the box H/ACA class.
Source: Rfam by way of RNAcentral